RNAcentral lists this ribosomal RNA (1349 nucleotides) under uncultured bacterium. RNAcentral's name for it is "bacterial SSU rRNA". It matches the Rfam family "Bacterial small subunit ribosomal RNA", at positions 28 to 1381 of the family's 1533-position model. The record is from RNAcentral.
GACGAACGCUGGCGGCGUGCUUAACACAUGCAAGUCGAACGAUGAAGCCUAGCUUGCUAGGUGGAUUAGUGGCGAACGGGUGAGUAAUACGUGAGUAACCUACCUUUAACUCUGGGAUAAGCCUGGGAAACUGGGUCUAAUACCGGAUACGACCAAUCUCCGCAUGGGGUGUUGGUGGAAAGCGUUAUGUAGUGGUUAUAGAUGGGCUCACGGCCUAUCAGCUUGUUGGUGAGGUAACGGCUCACCAAGGCGACGACGGGUAGCCGGCCUGAGAGGGUGACCGGCCACACUGGGACUGAGACACGGCCCAGACUCCUACGGGAGGCAGCAGUGGGGAAUAUUGCACAAUGGGCGCAAGCCUGAUGCAGCGACGCCGCGUGAGGGAUGACGGCCUUCGGGUUGUAAACCUCUGUUAGCAGGGAAGAAGAGAGAUUGACGGUACCUGCAGAGAAAGCGCCGGCUAACUACGUGCCAGCAGCCGCGGUAAUACGUAGGGCGCGAGCGUUGUCCGGAAUUAUUGGGCGUAAAGAGCUUGUAGGCGGUUUGUCGCGUCUGCUGUGAAAGGCCCGGGGCUUAACUCCGUGUAUUGCAGUGGGUACGGGCAGACUAGAGUGCAGUAGGGGAGACUGGAAUUCCUGGUGUAGCGGUGGAAUGCGCAGAUAUCAGGAGGAACACCGAUGGCGAAGGCAGGUCUCUGGGCUGUAACUGACGCUGAGAAGCGAAAGCAUGGGGAGCGAACAGGAUUAGAUACCCUGGUAGUCCAUGCCGUAAACGUUGGGCACUAGGUGUGGGGGACAUUCCACGUUUUCCGCGCCGUAGCUAACGCAUUAAGUGCCCCGCCUGGGGAGUACGGCCGCAAGGCUAAAACUCAAAGAAAUUGACGGGGGCCCGCACAAGCGGCGGAGCAUGCGGAUUAAUUCGAUGCAACGCGAAGAACCUUACCAAGGCUUGACAUAUACUGGACCGCAUCAGAGAUGGUGUUUCCCUUCGGGGCUGGUAUACAGGUGGUGCAUGGUUGUCGUCAGCUCGUGUCGUGAGAUGUUGGGUUAAGUCCCGCAACGAGCGCAACCCUCGUUCUAUGUUGCCAGCACGUUAUGGUGGGGACUCAUAGGAGACUGCCGGGGUCAACUCGGAGGAAGGUGGGGAUGACGUCAAAUCAUCAUGCCCCUUAUGUCUUGGGCUUCACGCAUGCUACAAUGGCCGGUACAGAGGGUUGCGAUACUGUGAGGUGGAGCUAAUCCCUAAAAGCCGGUCUCAGUUCGGAUUGGGGUCUGCAACUCGACCCCAUGAAGUCGGAGUCGCUAGUAAUCGCAGAUCAGCAACGCUGCGGUGAAUACGUUCCCGGGCCU